AACUUCUACAAAGAUCCCACUGACGAUGACCUUGAAAUGUAUCACUCUUUGGAGGAACUUGAGAGGGAAAAUGCUUUUAAUCAAGGAAUGGAGUCAACAUUGACCAAUCUCAGCUCUACACAAGCUGAUGCAUAGCAGGCAACAGCCAACAUCAAACUUUGACUCUUUGAGUGAGGCAGGGAGCACAACAAGCAAGUAUGAAGUGACGAUGAGAUGAAAUUUGA
Rosa chinensis is the source of this 224-nucleotide long non-coding RNA. RefSeq lists it as uncharacterized. The transcript is spliced from 3 exons. NCBI's taxonomy places the organism in Eukaryota, Viridiplantae, Streptophyta, Magnoliopsida, Rosales, Rosaceae. The record is from RefSeq and is a predicted model, not a curated record.